AAGAAUGCGCUGCUAUACAUGCAAGUCGAGCGGACCGACGGGAGCUUGCUCCCUUAGGUCAGCGGCGGACGGGUGAGUAACACGUGGGUAACCUGCCUGUAAGACUGGGAUAACUCCGGGAAACCGGGGCUAAUACCGGAUGCUUGAUUGAACCGCAUGGUUCAAUCAUAAAAGGUGGCUUUUAGCUACCACUUGCAGAUGGACCCGCGGCGCAUUAGCUAGUUGGUGAGGUAACGGCUCACCAAGGCGACGAUGCGUAGCCGACCUGAGAGGGUGAUCGGCCACACUGGGACUGAGACACGGCCCAGACUCCUACGGGAGGCAGCAGUAGGGAAUCUUCCGCAAUGGACGAAAGUCUGACGGAGCAACGCCGCGUGAGUGAUGAAGGUUUUCGGAUCGUAAAACUCUGUUGUUAGGGAAGAACAAGUACCGUUCGAAUAGGGCGGCACCUUGACGGUACCUAACCAGAAAGCCACGGCUAACUACGUGCCAGCAGCCGCGGUAAUACGUAGGUGGCAAGCGUUGUCCGGAAUUAUUGGGCGUAAAGCGCGCGCAGGCGGUUUCUUAAGUCUGAUGUGAAAGCCCCCGGCUCAACCGGGGAGGGUCAUUGGAAACUGGGGAACUUGAGUGCAGAAGAGGAGAGUGGAAUUCCACGUGUAGCGGUGAAAUGCGUAGAGAUGUGGAGGAACACCAGUGGCGAAGGCGACUCUCUGGUCUGUAACUGACGCUGAGGCGCGAAAGCGUGGGAGCGAACAGGAUUAGAUACCCUGGUAGUCCACGCCGUAAACGAUGAGUGCUAAGUGUUAGAGGGUUUCCGCCCUUUAGUGCUGCAGCAAACGCAUUAAGCACUCCGCCUGGGGAGUACGGUCGCAAGACUGAAACUCAAAGGAAUUGACGGGGGCCCGCACAAGCGGUGGAGCAUGUGGUUUAAUUC
Molecule: ribosomal RNA, 934 nt
Filed under: bacterium
Lineage: Bacteria
Description: bacterial SSU rRNA
Rfam family: Bacterial small subunit ribosomal RNA
Source: RNAcentral